This 700-nucleotide ribosomal RNA is filed under the name uncultured bacterium. RNAcentral describes it as "bacterial SSU rRNA". It matches the Rfam family "Bacterial small subunit ribosomal RNA", at positions 111 to 823 of the family's 1533-position model. The record is from RNAcentral.
UAACGCGUGAGUAACCUGCCUCAUACAACGGGAUACCCGAGGGAAACUUCGGUUAAUACGGUAUAAGACCACACUACCGCAUGGUAGAGGGGUAAAAGGGGCAACCUGGUAUGAGAUGGACUCGCGUCGCAUUAGCUAGUUGGUGAGGUAACGGCCCACCAAGGCGACGAUGCGUAGCCGACCUGAGAGGGUGAUCGGCCACAUUGGGACUGAGAUACGGCCCAGACUCCUACGGGAGGCAGCAGUGGGGAAUAUUGGGCAAUGGAGGAAACUCUGACCCAGCAAUGCCGCGUGAAUGAAGAAGGUCUUCGGAUUGUAAAGUUCUUUAGUCAGGGAAGAAGUCAAUGACGGUACCUGAAGAAUAAGCUCCGGCUAACUACGUGCCAGCAGCCGCGGUAAUACGUAGGGAGCAAGCGUUGUUCGGAAUGACUGGGCGUAAAGGGUGCGUAGGCGGUUGUACAAGUUAGAAGUGAAAUACCCAGGGCUUAACUCGGGUGCUGCUUCUAAAACUGUAUGACUUGAGUGCAGUAGAGGUUAGUGGAAUUCCUAGUGUAGCGGUGGAAUGCGUAGAUAUUAGGAGGAACACCAGAGGCGAAGGCGGCUAACUGGACUGCAACUGACGCUGAGGCACGAAAGUGUGGGGAGCAAACAGGAUUAGAUACCCUGGUAGUCCACACUGUAAACGAUGGAUACUAGAUGU